This 248-nucleotide unclassified non-coding RNA is filed under the name Hevea brasiliensis (rubber tree). Lineage: Eukaryota; Viridiplantae; Streptophyta; Magnoliopsida; Malpighiales; Euphorbiaceae. The record is from RNAcentral.
CUCUGUAAAAUAUACAACAGUAAUUACAAUUGAUGAGGGAAAAAAAUAAAAUAUAAAAGCUAGAUUUACAAGCAACAAAGGAUAAAAAUGAAAGAAUGAAAGCUCCAAUUGCUACAACCGAAGUUCAGCAAUGUUUUAAGAAUAUCCAUCUGCAGUUAUUUGGAAUUCUUAGCUUUCAUCUCAGCAGCAGCAGCUUUAACAGCAGAUUUUGCCAGGCUGCUGGAUUUUAAUGCACUUUUUGGAUUAAG